Molecule: ribosomal RNA, 535 nt
Filed under: uncultured bacterium
Lineage: Bacteria
Description: bacterial SSU rRNA
Rfam family: Bacterial small subunit ribosomal RNA
Source: RNAcentral
UGGCCUUGACAUACUAAGAACUUUCCAGAGAUGGAUUGGUGCCUUCGGGAACUUAGAUACGGGUGCUGCAUGGCUGUCGUCAGCUCGUGUCGUGAGAUGUUGGGUUAAGUCCCGNAACGAGCGCUAACCCUUUUCCUUAUUUGCCAGCGGGUCAUGCCGGGAACUUUAAGGAUACUGCCAGUGACAAACUGGAGGAAGGCGGGGACGACGUCAAGUCAUCAUGGCCCUUACGGCCAGGGCUACACACGUGCUACAAUGGUCGGUACAAAGGGUUGCUACCUCGCGAGAGGAUGCUAAUCUCAAAAAGCCGAUCGUAGUCCGGAUCGCAGUCUGCAACUCGACUGCGUGAAGUCGGAAUCGCUAGUAAUCGCGGAUCAGAAUGCCGCGGUGAAUACGUUCCCGGGCCUUGUACACACCGCCCGUCACACCAUGGGAGUUUGUUGCACCAGAAGUAGGUAGUCUAACCGCAAGGAGGACGCUUACCACGGUGUGGCCGAUGACUGGGGUGAAGUCGUAACAAGGUAGGCGUAGAUGA